Molecule: ribosomal RNA, 460 nt
Filed under: uncultured bacterium
Lineage: Bacteria
Description: partial 16S ribosomal RNA
Rfam family: Bacterial small subunit ribosomal RNA
Source: RNAcentral
CCUACGGGAGGCAGCAGUGAGGAAUAUUGGUCAAUGGACGAGAGUCUGAACCAGCCAAGUAGCGUGAAGGAUGACUGCCCUAGGGGUUUUAAGCUUCUGUUAUAUGGGAAUAAAAUGUUCCACGUUUGGGAUGUAGUGUGUACCAAAUGAAUAAGGAUCGGCUAACUCAGUGCCAGCAGCCGCGGUAAUACGGAGGAUACGAGCGUUAUACGGAUUUAUUGGGUUUAAAGGGAGCGUAGAUGGAUUGUUAAGUCAGUUGUGAAAGUUUUCGGCUCAACCGUAAAAUUGCAGUUGAUACUGGCAGUCUUGAGUACAGGAGAGGUAGGCGGAAUUCGUGGUGUAGCGGUGAAAUGCUUAGAUAUCACGAAGAACUCCGAUUGCGAAGGCAGCUCACUGGACUGCAACUGACACUGAGGCUCGAAAGUGUGGGUAUCAAACAGGAUUAGAUACCCCUGUAGUC